This 29-nucleotide small RNA is filed under the name Bombyx mori (domestic silkworm). RNAcentral's name for it is "ovarian small RNA-1447". The record is from RNAcentral. Lineage: Eukaryota; Metazoa; Arthropoda; Insecta; Lepidoptera; Bombycidae.
UCCAUUUGCGUAACUCAAAAUGGCCUUGC